UGCAUACCCUAGGCCUGGCAGC
This 22-nucleotide unclassified non-coding RNA is filed under the name Mus musculus (house mouse). RNAcentral describes it as "oocyte_clustered_small_RNA4218". The record is from RNAcentral. Lineage: Eukaryota; Metazoa; Chordata; Mammalia; Rodentia; Muridae.